RNAcentral lists this non-coding RNA (29 nucleotides) under Rattus norvegicus (Norway rat). Lineage: Eukaryota; Metazoa; Chordata; Mammalia; Rodentia; Muridae. The record is from RNAcentral.
UUCUAGAAAUGGAAUCUUAACAGAAAACU